CUGUGAAUUCAUGACAUUUCCCAGUCAUAAAAAAAUUUGGUUCUGGUUCUGGUUUUGGUUUUUGCAAUUUGAGGAUAGCUGAGUGUAGUUUUAGGCUUUUCUUAUGUACAACAGAACCUGAUUAAAUGAAUUUGAUCUUUCUUCAGCCAGUGUUAUCUUAUAACUCUCUGUACUCUGAUAAUGAAUUCUUUAAUUUUAGAUCAUGACUGUACCAAGUAUUUAAGUCCAAAAUUUGAAAGAGAAGUCUUGAGGUUUCUUCACCCUUUGUCUACAGCAGCAGACCUUAGAUCAUGAACCAUUGGUUGAGGAACACUUGGAGAGCAAUGAGGGUGAUCCUGAGUUACUUGUUUACAUUCUAUUUACAUCAGAUGUCAAGAUCAAGAGCAUUUCAAUUAUUGGUGGUGUUGCUGGAACAAGUAUUUCCAAGAUGAGUGCAUAAGUUUGAACUUUAAUAUUUUCUACCUAAGGCCCGGAUUUCUUAUAUUGGUGUAGUUCGAAUAAAAUAAAUAUCAAAACAGUCUUUGUUAGGUGUUCAAUGUUCACUUCAUUGCAUUUUUUGUAUUUGAAAAUACUAAAAACAAGACUGCAUUGCUUAAAAUAGGUUCAUCAAUCAAGAUGGCAUUGACUUUUCAGGUGUUCAAGGAAUGCAAGCCAUUCAGGUGUUGCUUUCAUAUUAGCUUGUCCCAUAGUUGAAAAAUUCAACGUUUCAGCCUUGAAACACGUCUUCUUGUAGUUUUAAGGAGUUGGAUUUGGUCGAAAAUUUUCAAGGAGUGUUGGAGUACCAGACAAGGUAUUUAUUCACUGCCUUUUGUACUGCUUCAAAAACCAUGUUGUUUAAUUUUCUAGAACAUGAAAACUAUAAAAAUUGAGCACAAUGAAGGAAACCUUAUUUCUUUUUAGUUUUUUUUUACCAUCUGCUGUCCCUCUGAUUCUCCGUAAAUAAAUAAAAAUCUAAGUUUCAGUACAGUUAAGUAAUGAUAUAUAUUGUUAAUUAUUCCAAUUAAAUUUUAAAUGGGGAUUCCUUGCCCAAAGAUAUUCAUUAGGUAUUCAAAGUUUCAACACGUGGCCAGGAUGGCAGCUCUGAACAAGUUGUCGAGUUCUCAAAAGAGAACGCAGGAUGGCUUUGCUCUCUAUACAGAAGAAGAGUUGGAAAUUAAUGAGGCAGAUGCUGGAAGCACACCGCUUUGUCCAUUUGAUUGCUCUUGUUGCUUCUAAGGAUACUUGCGAAUUUGUGACAUUUCCCUGUCUUAAAAUUUGGUUCUGGUCUCGGUUUCUGCAAUUUGAGGAUAGCUGAGUGUAGUUUUUGGCUCUUCUUAUGUACACCAGAACCUGCUUAAUGACUCCUGAUCAUUCUUCAAUCAGUGCCAUCUUAGAAAACGAUGUCCUGUGAUUAUGAAUUCUUAAAUUUUAAAUCAUGACUGUACUAGUAUUUAAAUCCAAAAAUCUGAAAAGAGAAGUCUUGAGGUGGAUUUUGUUGGUUGCAGCUGUACUUUCUUCAUCCCUUUGUCUGCUCCAGACCUUAGUCUGUUAUGAUAAUAUAGAUUAAAGUGAUGCGUUUGAAACCUAGGACUUCAAACUACACAAUGAUGUAAACAACCUUUCUGAUAAUGAACUUAUUGUUGCUUUGCCUGAA
Prunus dulcis (almond) is the source of this 1633-nucleotide RNA transcript. RefSeq lists it as uncharacterized. The record is from RefSeq and is a predicted model, not a curated record. The transcript is spliced from 3 exons. NCBI's taxonomy places the organism in Eukaryota, Viridiplantae, Streptophyta, Magnoliopsida, Rosales, Rosaceae.